GUGGGGAAUUUUGGACAAUGGGCGCAAGCCUGAUCCAGCAAUGCCGCGUGCAGGAAGAAGGCCUUCGGGUUGUAAACUGCUUUUGUACGGAACGAAACGGUCCGGGUUAAUACCCUGGGCUAAUGACGGUACCGCAAGAAUAAGCACCGGCUAACUACGUGCCAGCAGCCGCGGUAAUACGUAGGGUGCAAGCGUUAAUCGGAAUUACUGGGCGUAAAGCGUGCGCAGGCGGUUUUGUAAGACAGGCGUGAAAUCCCCGGGCUCAGCCUGGGAAUUGCGCUUGUGACUGCAAGGCUGGAGUGCGGCAGAGGGGGAUGGAAUUCCGCGUGUAGCAGUGAAAUGCGUAGAUAUGCGGAGGAACACCGAUGGCGAAGGCAAUCCCCUGGGCCUGCACUGACGCUCAUGCACGAAAGCGUGGGGAGCAAACAGGAUUAGAAACCCGGGUAGUCC
This 450-nucleotide ribosomal RNA is filed under the name uncultured bacterium. Its description in RNAcentral is "partial 16S ribosomal RNA". It matches the Rfam family "Bacterial small subunit ribosomal RNA", at positions 354 to 796 of the family's 1533-position model. The record is from RNAcentral.